GCGCACGGGUGAGUAACGCGUGGAUAAUCUACCCUUAAGUUGGGAAUAACGUACCGAAAGGUGCGCUAAUACCGAAUAAUACUGCAUAACUACUGUUGUGUAGUCAAAGAAGGCCUCUGUUUACAAGCUUUUGCUGAAGGAUGAGUCCGCGUACCAUUAGCUAGUUGGUAGGGUAAUGGCCUACCAAGGCGACGAUGGUUAGCUGGUCUGAGAGGAUGAUCAGCCACACUGGAACUGAGACACGGUCCAGACUCCUACGGGAGGCAGCAGUGAGGAAUAUUGCGCAAUGGGGGCAACCCUGACGCAGCAACGCCGCGUGAGUGAGGAAGGUUUUCGGAUCGUAAAGCUCUGUCGAGCGGGAAGAAAUGCAUGGUGGCUAAUAUCCAUUAUGCUUGACGGUACCGCUAAAGGAAGCACCGGCUAACUCCGUGCCAGCAGCCGCGGUAAUACGGGGGGGUGCUAGCGUUGUUCGGAAUUAUUGGGCGUAAAGAGCGUGUAGGCGGCUGAAUAAGUCAGAUGUGAAAGCCCUGGGCUUAACCCAGGAAGUGCAUUUGAAACUAUUCGGCUUGAGUAGGGGAGAGGAAAGUGGAAUUCCUGGUGUAGAGGUGAAAUUCGUAGAUAUCAGGAGGAACACCGAUGGCGAAGGCGACUUUCUGGCCCUAUACUGACGCUGAGACGCGAGAGCGUGGGUAGCAUACAGGAUUAGAUACCCUGGUAGUCCACGCUGUAAACGAUGUCAACUGGCUGUUGGGUG
RNAcentral lists this ribosomal RNA (754 nucleotides) under uncultured bacterium. RNAcentral's name for it is "bacterial SSU rRNA". It matches the Rfam family "Bacterial small subunit ribosomal RNA", at positions 98 to 829 of the family's 1533-position model. The record is from RNAcentral.